GGGUGCGAUCAUACCAGCACUAAUGCACCGGAUCCCAUCAGAAUUCCGCAGUAAAGCGUGCUUGGGCGAG
RNAcentral lists this ribosomal RNA (70 nucleotides) under Corchorus capsularis. The record is from RNAcentral. Lineage: Eukaryota; Viridiplantae; Streptophyta; Magnoliopsida; Malvales; Malvaceae.